CCCACCCCUCUGGGAGCCUGGCUUUCUCUCCUGCCCCCUGCACUCGAGACCCAGCCGAGCACGGAGACUGCAGCCUUCAUGGACUGUGAGCGGGGUACAGGGUUGGUAGUACGCCAGGGUCCGAGGCCACGCGCUCUCCAAAAGAUCUCCAAGGUUGAGCGCGGGCUCAGAAUGUGGCCGGAAGAAGAGUCGCGGCGUCCCCGGUGAAGGUCCGGGGUUGCAAGGUAGGGAGCAGGCAGAUGGCCAGGCAAAGUUGAUCACAGAGAGGAAGGAGGUGGUUGGCCUGCGCCUUCGGGCCGCUGGGAACCGCCAAACUACUUGGACUUGACCCGCCGCGCCCCAGGCGCUCUAAGCAGCGCCUAUCAGUCGCCCUGCGCGGGAGCGCACUUGCAAACUUGGUGGAGGUGCCCUGCGCGUCCUGUUGUGUAACCUCCGCGCCGCCAGCUGGACCGGGAAGUUGCCCGCCCGUCCUUCAGCUUAGAUCGGUCGCAGCCCCGGGCGAAUUUCAUGGCCCGCGACAAACGCGCGGCCAGAGCCGGCGUGGGCGAGCCCCUGCGCGCUCCGACCCGUGGGGAACUCCCGCGCGCGGUCCCUGACCCGCGCCUCCGAUGCGCGCUGAGUCUCUCGCCGCUGCUGCCCGCUCGCCGCGGUCUGCCCUUUCUAGUAGCUGUCUGAGUUGGAAAGAAGAGGAUGACCGAGGUGCCUUGGUCGGCUGUCCCCAACGGGACGGAUGCUGCCUUUCUGGCUGGCCUGGGCUCGCUUUGGGGAAACAGUACUGUCGCCUCAACUGCAGCAGUUUCCUCUUCAUUCCAAUGUGCCCUGACCAAGACCGGUUUCCAGUUCUACUACCUGCCGGCCGUCUACAUUUUAGUGUUCAUCAUAGGCUUCCUAGGCAACAGCGUGGCUAUCUGGAUGUUCGUUUUCCACAUGAAGCCUUGGAGCGGCAUCUCCGUGUACAUGUUCAAUUUGGCUCUGGCUGACUUUUUAUACGUGCUCACCCUACCAGCCCUCAUCUUCUACUACUUCAACAAGACUGACUGGAUCUUCGGGGAUGCUAUGUGCAAGCUGCAGAGAUUCAUCUUCCACGUAAACCUCUACGGUAGCAUCUUGUUCCUCACCUGCAUCAGUGCACACAGGUACAGCGGCGUGGUGUACCCUCUCAAGUCUCUGGGCAGGCUCAAGAAGAAGAAUGCUAUUUAUGUCAGCGUGCUGGUGUGGCUCAUUGUGGUGGUGGCCAUCUCCCCUAUUCUCUUCUACUCUGGCACUGGGACUCGGAAAAACAAAACUGUCACCUGCUAUGACACCACGUCCAAUGAUUACCUGCGAAGUUAUUUCAUCUACAGUAUGUGCACGACUGUGGCCAUGUUCUGCAUCCCUUUGGUGCUGAUCUUGGGCUGUUAUGGAUUAAUUGUUAAAGCUUUGAUUUACAAUGACCUGGACAACUCUCCGCUCCGGAGGAAAUCCAUUUACCUGGUGAUAAUUGUCCUGACGGUGUUUGCUGUGUCUUACAUCCCUUUCCAUGUGAUGAAAACGAUGAAUUUGCGAGCACGGUUGGAUUUCCAGACCCCAGAAAUGUGUGAUUUCAACGACAGGGUUUAUGCCACUUAUCAGGUAACAAGAGGUCUAGCAAGUCUCAACAGCUGUGUGGACCCCAUUCUUUAUUUCUUGGCUGGAGACACAUUCAGAAGGAGACUGUCCCGAGCCACCAGGAAAGCUUCCAGGAGGAGUGAGGCCAAUUUACAAUCCAAGAGUGAAGAAAUGACUCUCAAUAUUUUAUCUGAAUUCAAGCAGAAUGGAGACACGAGUUUGUGAAGGCACGAGAUCCUAACUCCUGAGUUUUGUAACAUGGUAGGAUGCUCAUAGAACAAGAUGCUUUUCUUCCUAAGUUCCUAGUAAUGUAAGAGAAUUCUCCAAACAAGAAAGUCGUGAGUCUAAAAAUUAAGGAGCAUCAAUUUGAUGCACAUAUCUACAUUUAUUGUUCUUUCCUGUAAUCUCCUUUCUUACUGAAUAGAAGAAGUAUGUGUAAUAAACACUUCCCCUUCCUCCUUUUCAAUUCACAGGCUUUUUUUCUGUUGAGAGAGAGAGAGAAUGUGUAGCAGAGCAAUUUUGAUAUUAAAAAUGUCUCCAAAAAAACUGGCCACCUGGAACUUGAACCUGUGAUUUGUUCAGCCUGUGUUGCUUUGAAUAGCUCUUGGCAUAAACAAAAUAAAAUCUAUCCUUUAAACAAUUUGGCAUAGUAUAAUGAAAUGCUGGUUAGUCCAUUGAACAGUGAGCAGAUGCCUUGAUGUUCAUGUCUUUCAAUUCCUCAGAAGCAUACAUGGUGGCUGAUGUUAUCUGGGGAAUUGAAUAGAAAAAUAAAAUCAAUGAACUUUUCUGUGAGUAAAAGGAACAUUUCCAGUUAUUUCUGGAAAACUGAUUAAUAAACAUCACUUCUUAAAUGUUUGGUGGUGGGAGGCUGCAGAUAUCAUAUUAUUGCCAAGAUACGCUCAAAAUAAUUGAACUGCAUGUGUUUUUCUUAUAAAUACUGUGGACUCCUAGGCUUCCUGGGAUAAAUAGUUCUCACUUGCACCACUGCUGUGCAGUGUCUUAGGACUCUGUGUUCCAAGACAAGUGCUCCCUCACAUCUGUGAAAACAAUUUUGAGAAAUCCCAGUUAAAUUUUAGACUAAAGGGUGAAGGCAGCGGUGGAGCCCUUAGCAGAUUGUGGGGUAGUGGGCGGGACUGUGGAUGUUUCAGAAGGCCAGGCUUGACAGGGCCUUUCUGCAGCUGGAAAUGAGAAGAGUUCAAAAAGAAGGAUGUUAAACCAAAAAAUAAUGGCAGGGUUCUAUCUGUCUCUUCAGGGUUCUUCAAAAUAUUAAAUGCAGAAUGAAAGGGGAUGCAAGGAAAUCACUUAGGUGUUCCAUGAUGGUGGAAAGCUGUUAUCUGAUAACAAGGUUGCUUUGAACCUGCAUUGAACUAAAAUGAUAAAUUAAGAAGAAACUUAGCACAUGAGACAGAAUUCAAAACUAAAACUGUGAUGUGGCCACUGAGAAGAAACUCGGAAGCCCAUUCUUCAUGAAGAGGAAAAGUAACAGGACACCAUUUGUUGAUGCCGUAGGUGCUGUGGUAGAUCUUGGAAAGCAGUGAGAACUGUUUGGAAUCUGCUCCUCUGCUUCCUAGGACUCUCCAGUCUAGACUUUGCAUAAAGGUCUCAUUUUCCACCAGCUGUGGUAUGGAAAGGUUGAAACCUGUAAAUCUCUGCUCACUCAACCAGGACACUAACCCAUCUUGAUAUAACACAUACCAGUACUUAGUAGCAGCUAGAAUUCAACUAUUGACAGGACAUAGAAGAUGUGAUACUCGUAAAUAUGUAUUGAAGCUUUUCUUCUAUUGGUUGAAUGUAAUCAUUGUAAUAGUAUUUAUUGAAGAGGUUUGUGGGCCUUCAGUUGUACAGAUUGAAGAUACAAUGUACUAGUGUAAAUUCUAUUUAUUGCAGUGUAUAAUGUUCAAAUGUCACACGUAUAUUUUACAGUAAUAUAUAAUGCUAGAUAAAAUGAGAAUUUUAUUUAAGAGGUUUUUUUCAGAUAUUAGUAACUUUGAACUUUUAAGACCAGUUUGUAUUUGUAUCUAAAAUGAUGAAAAUGUGGUUUAUAACAAGUGUUUAAUUUUCUCUAGAUUUGAAUUUGCAUGCUUUCCUUUUGUGUGGGGUUCUUGCUAUACAGACAUGAUUUGGUGUUAGAUUAUUGUAAGAUUUAUAACAAGUAUAGGAUAUUUUAGACAGGUUAUAUAUUACAUACAUUAUAUGUGUAUAUUUACAUUAUAGAAAGUUUGUGUGGUCUUUUCAGAAAGUUUAGAAUAUUGCUCUAACUAUGGUUGCAGCGUCCACUGCCAAAGGCUAAAGGCUUGUCUCCUUUCAAAAUUGAUGAUUUAGAUGUCCAGUAGGUUGGGUGGUGUGGAUAUAAUGUGAGAAUUUAAAGACAAACUUUAGUGAUACAGGGAGAGAAAAGUGCAGCUGAUAGUUUUCUGCUAGAUCUUGAAGCUUUACAAUGUUUUUUUGUUUUUUGUUUUUUUUUUUUUUGUUUUCUUAAGGCAACAUAGUACAAUCUUUUGUGAGGUGAUUUUUUGUUUAUUUUGGUUUUUUUGGUUUUGUAACACUACCAAGAAAUUGAACAUUGCUAUUGAUUUUAAUCUGUUUUCUUUAGGCAGUUGGUAACUUUAAUGCCAACAUGUUAAGUGAUAACUAUGUCAUUUGGCUGCUUAAUUCUGUCAUUUUUUAAAUGAAGGUGAAUUUAUGUUACAUAUCAAAAUUUGUACAUUUGAGUAACAUUGUUUUAGUGCUUUUGCAAGAAAAAGUUUAUUUUUAUAACAUUUGUGAUUUUCCUGUAGAAGAUUGAAACAGAUAUCUGUAGUUAACAGUGCUAUUGAGUGGUAUGGAACAGUGUUACUUGGCAUUUUGAGCCUUCUCAGGUUUGUCUCAUCAGUGGUAGCUUAACAACCUCUGGAUUGAUUGUGUAUAAUUGUCUUUGUAUUCAAAAGAGGUUCAUGUCCUGUAAAAGCACAGUAUUGUUUGACUGGAGGGAGCUGCAGAUUCGCCCAUGUUUCUGUGACUUUGCUCGUGUGUGUGUGUGUGUGUGUGUGUGUGUGUGUGUGGGUGUGUGUGGGUGUGUGUAUGUGUGUGUGUUCCAGGCAUGGCAGCCAUUCUUGUAUCUGCUAUUUAAAAUAACAGCAGAGCUUCAUAAUUGUGGUCAUUAGAGUUGUUCUUAUCAUAAUUAAAACUGAAAUUCAAUA
Molecule: non-coding RNA, 4766 nt
Organism: Mus caroli (Ryukyu mouse)
Lineage: Eukaryota; Metazoa; Chordata; Mammalia; Rodentia; Muridae
Source: RefSeq, a predicted model, not a curated record